CCUACGGGAGGCAGCAGUGAGGAAUAUUGGUCAAUGGGAGGAAUCCUGAACCAGCCAUGCCGCGUGCAGGACGACGGCUCUACGAGUUGUAAACUGCUUUUGUACCGGGGUAGAAUGUCUUACGUGUAGGGUUUUGAAAGUACGGUACGAAUAAGGAUCGGCUAACUCCGUGCCAGCAGCCGCGGUAAUACGGAGGAGCCGAGCGUUAUCCGGAAUCAUUUGGUUUAAAGGGUACGUAGGUUGUUUUAUAAGUUAGCGGUGAAAUACCGAUGCUCAACAUCGGGGCUGCAGCUAAUACUGUAGGACUAGAGAUCGGAUGCAGCAGGCGGAAUGUGUAGUGUAGCGGUGAAAUGCGUAGAGAUUACACAGAACACCGAUUGCGAAGGCAGCCUGCUGGACCGGAUCUGACACUGAGGCACGAAAGCGUGGGGAUCGAACAGGAUUAGAUACCCUUGUAGUC
Molecule: ribosomal RNA, 460 nt
Filed under: uncultured bacterium
Lineage: Bacteria
Description: partial 16S ribosomal RNA
Rfam family: Bacterial small subunit ribosomal RNA
Source: RNAcentral